RNA transcript from Girardinichthys multiradiatus, 2665 nucleotides. It is a transcript of the gene named 26S proteasome non-ATPase regulatory subunit 11A-like, with no coding region annotated. The transcript is spliced from 14 exons. NCBI's taxonomy places the organism in Eukaryota, Metazoa, Chordata, Actinopteri, Cyprinodontiformes, Goodeidae. The record is from RefSeq and is a predicted model, not a curated record.
CGAACAUGUGACCGACCGAACCGGAAGAUAACCGUGCAGAGAAAGAACAGAGGCUGGUAACGGAGAGAUGGCAGCCGCGGCUGUGGCUGAGUUUCAAAGAGCUCGGUCUCUUAUUGGAACUGACCGGAACGCUUCCAUCGAUAUUUUACACUCUAUAGUGAAACGGGACAUCCAGGACAGCGAUGAGGAAGCGGUUCGUGUUAAGGAGCAGAGCAUCUUGGAGCUGGGCGGGCUGCUGGCGAAGACCGGGCAAGCAGCAGAGCUCGGAGGCCUCCUGAAGUAUGUGCGCCCUUUCCUCAACUCCAUCUCCAAGGCAAAAGCAGCCCGGCUGGUCCGCUCCCUGUUGGACUUGUUCCUGGAUAUGGAAGCAGCCACAGGUCAGGAGGUAGAGCUUUGUCUGGAGUGCAUUGAGUGGGCCAAGGCUGAGAAGAGGACCUUCCUCCGACAGGCACUCGAGGCUCGACUUAUCUCUCUCUAUUUCGACACAAAGUGCUACCAGGAAGCUCUACAACUUGGCUCCCAGUUGCUACAGGAGCUCAAGAAGAUGGAUGACAAGGCCCUGCUGGUGGAGGUUCAGCUGCUGGAGAGCAAGACGUACCACGCGCUCAGUAACCUGCCAAAGGCCCGUGCUGCCCUCACCUCUGCCAGGACAACUGCCAAUGCCAUCUACUGCCCACCCAAACUCCAAGCAGCUUUAGACAUGCAGUCAGGGAUCAUUCAUGCAGCAGAGGAGAAAGACUGGAAGACGGCGUAUUCGUACUUUUAUGAGGCCUUUGAGGGCUACGACUCGAUUGACAGCCCCCGAGCCAUCACAGCACUCAAAUACAUGCUGCUCUGCAAAAUCAUGCUCAAUGCCCCAGAGGACGUCCAGGCCCUUGUCAGUGGCAAGCUGGCUCUGAGGUACGCUGGCAGACAGACAGACUCCCUGAAAUGUGUGGCACAAGCCAGUAAGAACCGGUCGCUUGCAGACUUUGAACAGGCACUAACAGAGUACAAAGCAGAGUUAAGGGAUGACCCCAUCAUCAGCACCCACCUGACAAAGCUGUAUGACAACCUGCUCGAGCAGAACCUCAUCAGGGUCAUUGAGCCUUUCUCCAGGGUGCAGAUUACACAUGUCUCCUCACUUAUCAAACUCCCUAAGGGAGACGUAGAGAGGAAAUUAUCUCAGAUGAUUCUGGAUCAGAAGUUUCAUGGUAUUUUGGACCAAGGUGAAGGUGUGCUGAUCGUCUUCGAUGAGCCAGUGGUGGACAAGACAUAUGAGGCAGCUCUGGAGACCAUUCAGAAUAUGAGCAAAGUGGUCGACUCACUUUACAACAAAGCAAAGAAACUUACAUAAGGAUGAUGUCGGCCAAAGCCUAGAAGACAGCCACAAAGAGAUCUGAAUAGAAGCCAUUUAUACAAAUCAACCAAAUUACCGUAAAUUCCGGACUAAGGAGCGCACCUGAUUAAAGGCCGCAUGCUCUAAUUUUAGAAAGAAAACCAAUUUUGUACUUGUACAGGCCGCACCGAUGUUAAGCCGUGGGUGUCCCACGUAUUAUGAUUUGCACAGAAAGAUAUUACAGUGAGAAGAUCUGUCUGUCCUGUCAGGAGUGAUUUGGGCCAGUCAGUUCUUCGUUCUCCCACCUCAAUCUGGGAGGGACGGCAGGGGGGAGGAGGAUGAGAAAAUUACUAACAUUCAACCUAGCAACCAAACCAACCAGUUGUCCAGAUAAAGAUAACACCCCCCACACACAGAAGAAGAAUCAGACAGGGUGGACUCGGCAACCCUUACUCUUCUAUCAGCCCUCUUUUGUCCCUGCUUCUUCUCACUCUCUUCCUUCUUUAUCUGAUUGGAGUUGAUCAGGCACACAGUGCUCCUCCUAGUGGACCACUCGCAGCACUGCAUUUUUCUCCUCUCCCACGGCUGGUUUCUACUGUAUGUAAAAAUUGGACAAGCCUGACUUUUUUCUUUCUACCCCAGUUUAUGUCUGUGCUGGCCAUCAGGGAAUCUUGUAAAAUAACAAUAGAGGAUAAAUAUACAGUACCUAUAAAUACAUGUAUGAUAAACAAUGAGGAAAAAAAAUCAAUCUCAGAGUGGGGGAAAUGGCACUUGGUUUGUCUGUAUCUGUUUUUCUUUGCCGACCGGCGCUGAAACUGAAUGUUUGCAUUUUUCUAUAGUUGUGGAACACCAACUACAGGCCAGCCGAUAAGUUUCUGAAUCUGCAGGGCAUCAGAGCAAACCCCUACCUUUUAUUUCAAGAGUCUGACCCCCCCUUCCCUGUACUUAUCUGACUGGUGUCGCUCAUAAUGGGACUGUGGAUAACACAGGGAACCGCUCUUCUGUCAACUCAGCACCACAGAACUUCUUCCCCUCCCUUGUAAUACCACUACCUGUUUGUAUAUAAAAUUUCCAAUUUCCAAGCCCCUCUGUUCACUCUGCCCAUCCUUACUUUUUUUGUUUUUUAUAAUGUGUAAGAACAAAGUGAACCUUGCCGCUUAAAGCUUGGAUGCUCCUUCUAAGAAUUUGUCUGGUUCUGAGGGAGUCCAUUGGGCAGAAAAGGGCAGGCUUUGCUGGUGAAAAUUGAGCUGUAAAUUUUUUGGGAACUGAAUUUUGCAAAGAUUUAUGGGUUCACCAUGUAUGACUUAGAAAGAGACAAAUGCUAAUAAAAAAAAAGGAAACCCGCAA